Molecule: ribosomal RNA, 492 nt
Filed under: uncultured bacterium
Lineage: Bacteria
Description: partial 16S ribosomal RNA
Rfam family: Bacterial small subunit ribosomal RNA
Source: RNAcentral
AGUGAACGCUGGCGGUAGGCCUAACACAUGCAAGUCGAACGGCAGCACAGUAAGAGCUUGCUCUUACGGGUGGCGAGUGGCGGACGGGUGAGGAAUACAUCGGAAUCUACUUUUUCGUGGGGGAUAACGUAGGGAAACUUACGCUAAUACCGCAUACGACCUACGGGUGAAAGCAGGGGAUCUUCGGACCUUGCGCGAUUGAAUGCGCCGAUGUCGGAUUAGCUAGUUGGCGGGGUAAAGGCCCACCAGGGCGACGAUCCGUAGCUGGUCUGAGAGGAUGGUCGGCCACACUGGAACUGGGACACGGUCAAGACUCCUAAGGGAGGCAGCAGUGGGGAAUAUUGGACAAUAGGCGGAAGCAUAAUCCAGCCAGACCGAGUGGGUGAAGAAGGCCUUCGGGUUGUAAAGCCCUUUUGUUGGGAAAGAAAAGCAGCAGGUUAAUACCCCGCUGUUCUGACGGUACCCAAAGAAUAAGCACCGGCUAACUUCGUG